CGGCUCAGAUGAACGCUAGCUACAGGCUUACACAUGCAAGUCGAGGGGCAGCAUGGUCUUAGCUUGCUAAGGCCGAUGGCGACCGGCGCACGGGUGAGUAACACGUAUCCAACCUGCCGUCUACUCUUGGACAGCCUUCUGAAAGGAAGAUUAAUACAAGAUGGCAUCAUGAGUCCGCAUGUUCACAUGAUUAAAGGUAUUCCGGUAGACGAUGGGGAUGCGUUCCAUUAGAUAGUAGGCGGGGUAACGGCCCACCUAGUCUUCGAUGGAUAGGGGUUCUGAGAGGAAGGUCCCCCACAUUGGAACUGAGACACGGUCCAAACUCCUACGGGAGGCAGCAGUGAGGAAUAUUGGUCAAUGGGCGAGAGCCUGAACCAGCCAAGUAGCGUGAAGGAUGACUGCCCUAUGGGUUGUAAACUUCUUUUAUAAAGGAAUAAAGUCGGGUAUGGAUACCCGUUUGCAUGUACUUUAUGAAUAAGGAUCGGCUAACUCCGUGCCAGCAGCCGCGGUAAUACGGAGGAUCCGAGCGUUAUCCGGAUUUAUUGGGUUUAAAGGGAGCGUAGAUGGAUGUUUAAGUCAGUUGUGAAAGUUUGCGGCUCAACCGUAAAAUUGCAGUUGAUACUGGAUAUCUUGAGUGCAGUUGAGGCAGGCGGAAUUCGUGGUGUAGCGGUGAAAUGCUUAGAUAUCACGAAGAACUCCGAUUGCGAAGGCAGCCUGCUAAGCUGCAACUGACAUUGAGGCUCGAAAGUGUGGGUAUCAACAGGAUUAAU
Molecule: ribosomal RNA, 770 nt
Filed under: Bacteroides sp. ES-12
Lineage: Bacteria; Pseudomonadati; Bacteroidota; Bacteroidia; Bacteroidales; Bacteroidaceae
Description: bacterial SSU rRNA
Rfam family: Bacterial small subunit ribosomal RNA
Source: RNAcentral